RNAcentral lists this small nucleolar RNA (150 nucleotides) under Capsicum annuum. RNAcentral's name for it is "small nucleolar RNA snoR135". It matches the Rfam family "small nucleolar RNA snoR135". Lineage: Eukaryota; Viridiplantae; Streptophyta; Magnoliopsida; Solanales; Solanaceae. The record is from Rfam by way of RNAcentral.
AACACAGAGAUUAUGUGUAUCGGCUUUGUGCUAUUAAUAAUGCACUUUGCUCAAGAGUGUUCUCUGCAAAAUUGAUAUCAUUGGGGAAGAUGGGCAGUUGUGUUUGAUCUAUUUCACUGGAAAUUUUCAACGAUCAUUUUCCCCACAUCU